CGGACCGGUGACAGGUGCUGCAUGGCUGUCGUCAGCUCGUGUCGUGAGAUGUUGGAUUAAGUCCCGCAACGAGCGCAACCCUCGCCCUUAGUUGCCAUCAUUCAGUUGGGCACUCUAAGGGGACUGCCGGUGAUAAGCCGAGAGGAAGGUGGGGAUGACGUCAAGUCCUCAUGGCCCUUACGGCCUGGGCUACACACGUGCUACAAUGGUCGGUACAAAGGGUUGCCAAGCCGCGAGGUGGAGCUAAUCCCAUAAAACCGAUCGUAGUCCGGAUCGCAGUCUGCAACUCGACUGCGUGAAGUCGGAAUCGCUAGUAAUCGUGAAUCAGAAUGUCACGGUGAAUACGUUCCCGGGCCUU
This 358-nucleotide ribosomal RNA is filed under the name uncultured Rhizobiaceae bacterium. RNAcentral describes it as "bacterial SSU rRNA". It matches the Rfam family "Bacterial small subunit ribosomal RNA", at positions 1024 to 1382 of the family's 1533-position model. The record is from RNAcentral. Lineage: Bacteria; Pseudomonadati; Pseudomonadota; Alphaproteobacteria; Hyphomicrobiales; Rhizobiaceae.